Molecule: ribosomal RNA, 511 nt
Filed under: uncultured bacterium
Lineage: Bacteria
Description: bacterial SSU rRNA
Rfam family: Bacterial small subunit ribosomal RNA
Source: RNAcentral
GAUUAUGGCUCAGGAUGGACGCUGGCGGCGUGCCUAAUACAUGCAAGUCGAACGAGAUGUAGCAAUACAUCUAGUGGCGAACGGGUGAGUAACACGUAUUCAAUCUGCCCUAACGACUGGGAUACCCUCGGGAAACCUUGGCUAAUACCGGAUAGGAAAUCGAAUCGCAUGAUUUGAUUUUUAAAGGAUCUUUUGAUUCACGAUAGGAUGAGAAUGCGGCGCAUUAGUUAGUUGGUGAGAUAAAAGCCCACCAAGACGAGGAUGCGUAGCCGACCUGAGAGGGUGAUCGGCCACAAUGGAACUGAGACACGGUCCAUACUCCUACGGGAGGCAGCAGUAGGGAGUUUUCGGCAAUGGGGGCAACCCUGACCGAGCAACGCCGCGUGAGUGAUGAAGGCCCCUAUGGGUCGUAAAAUUCUGUUAUAUGGGACGAAUCAUAUCACUGAGAGAAACGGUGGUAUCUGACUGUACCAUAUGAGAAAGGAACGGCUAACUACGUGCCAGCCGCCGC